This 598-nucleotide ribosomal RNA is filed under the name Tryblionella compressa. RNAcentral describes it as "partial Bacterial large subunit ribosomal RNA". It matches the Rfam family "Bacterial large subunit ribosomal RNA", at positions 188 to 739 of the family's 2925-position model. Lineage: Eukaryota; Bacillariophyta; Bacillariophyceae; Bacillariales; Bacillariaceae. The record is from RNAcentral.
GGGAAGUGAAACAUCUCAGUACCCACAGGAAGAGAAAACAACAUGUGAUUCCGUGAGUAGUGGCGAGCGAAAGCGGAGGAGGCUAAACCGUGUGUGUGUUCAAGCCGGCAGGUGUUGCAUGUGCGGGGUUGUGGGGGCCUUGUGGUUCUGCUGCCGCAGGAUUGGCCAGUGAGAAAUGUUGCGUGAAGGUGAAGCGUCUGGGAAGGCGUACCGGAGUGGGUGAGAGUCCUGUAACUGUAAGCGUGGCACUGGUGUGGGGUUGCCCCGAGUAGCGUGGGACUCGUGGAAUUUCGCGUGAAUCUGGCGGGACCACCCGUCAAGCCUAAAUACUCCUUGGUGACCGAUAGUGGAUGAGUACCGUGAGGGAAGGGUGAAAAGUACCCCGGGAGGGGAGUGAAAUAGUACCUGAAACCGUGUGCUUACAAUCCGUCAAAGCCUCCCUUCGUGGUGGGGUGAUGGCGUGCCUUUUGAAGAAUGAGCCUGCGAGUUAGUGAUGCGUGGCGAGGUUAACCCGUGGUGGGGGAGUCGUAGCGAAAGCGAGUCCGAUAAGGGCGUGAGUCGCGUGUUCUAGACCCGAAGCGGUGUGAUCUAUCCAUGG